Talpa occidentalis (Iberian mole) is the source of this 187-nucleotide non-coding RNA. RefSeq annotates it as small Cajal body-specific RNA 16. NCBI's taxonomy places the organism in Eukaryota, Metazoa, Chordata, Mammalia, Eulipotyphla, Talpidae. The record is from RefSeq and is a predicted model, not a curated record. The transcript has a single exon.
GUGGUCUAGGGAGAGGCUCCUGUGUUUCUAAACCUGCCCAAUGGUGGGGGCUGCCUCGUAGCAGGAGCCCGCCUCCUGACCUGGAGUAAAUUCCCAGGAGAAGUUUCUCCUGGGCUUUGAAUUUGCACUAACAGGUGUGAACAUCCUAGUAGUGGUUUGAUGAUUAUAUCUGAUACUGCAAACAGAC